This 481-nucleotide ribosomal RNA is filed under the name uncultured bacterium. Its description in RNAcentral is "partial 16S ribosomal RNA". It matches the Rfam family "Bacterial small subunit ribosomal RNA", at positions 28 to 507 of the family's 1533-position model. The record is from RNAcentral.
GAUGAACGCUGGCGGCGUGCCUAACACAUGCAAGUCGAACGGAGAUUACGGACGGAAGUUUUCGGAUGGAAGCCUGUAAUUCUUAGUGGCGGACGGGUGAGUAACGCGUGGGCAACCUGCCCUAUACAGGGGGAUAGCAGCUGGAAACGGCUGGUAAGACCGCAUAAGUCGGUUAAAUCGCAUGAUUUGAUCGGGAAAUGAGCAAUCAGGUAUAGGAUGGGCCCGCGUCCGAUUAGCCAGUUGGCAGGGUAAAAGCCUACCAAAGCGACGAUCGGUAGCCGGACUGAGAGGUCGGACGGCCACAUUGGGACUGAGACACGGCCCAAACUCCUACGGGAGGCAGCAGUGGGGGAUAUUGCACAAUGGAGGAAACUCUGAUGCAGCGACGCCGCGUGAGUGAAGAAGUAUUUCGGUAUGUAAAGCUCUAUCAGCAGGGAAGAUGAUGACGGUACCUGACGAAGAAGCCCCGGCUAACUACGUG